Molecule: long non-coding RNA, 816 nt
Organism: Mobula hypostoma (lesser devil ray)
Lineage: Eukaryota; Metazoa; Chordata; Chondrichthyes; Myliobatiformes; Myliobatidae
Exons: 3
Source: RefSeq, a predicted model, not a curated record
GCUUCCACGUCCCCCUGCCUGCCUUCUGGUCCUCCCGUAAGCGACAGGCGGCUCUCAGAAGGCAGUGGUCAGAGAAGAACACCGGCGUGACGGCGGUGGACCUGACCGUGAGGGACUCCGACAGGAAGAGGAAGUCGAUCCGGGAGCGGGCUGAGCCGUCCGAUCGUGUCCAGGUGGCUUGCGGCUGUGCUCCACCUGUGGGGGUGCCAAAGGCGUCGCGCAGCUUGGCUGUCUUUACUAUUUCCCUCAGGAGUCUGGAGGUACUGUCCAGCCGGCGUCGGCGCUGCCGGGUCCUCCGGCCGCAUCAAUGGUGCAGUUGAAGUCUCCGGCCACAACGACCGGCUGGGGUGUCAGCAGCAGCUGCGGGAGCUGCUCGAAGACGGCCAGCCGCUCGCUCCGAACGGGGGAGGCGUACGCGUUGAUCAGCCGGAGCGGAGUGCCCCGGUAUUUGACGUCUGCUACCAGGAGGCGCCCCGCAGCCACCUCUUUAACUCGGAUGACUCUGUGAGAAUUCUGGAUGACGCCGAGCCGCAGAGGAACAUUGAGGUUGUGAUGGCCAAGAUGGCUUUCUGAAGAAGCUUCACGAGGACGAGGUGACUGACCAGACCCACAACAUCGAGGAGUCCAGGGCCUCAGUGGAACUCAGUUCUGCUCAGCUGAACUUUGGGCUGUCCUGAGCAACAUUCCUGUGUUCUACCUCUCCCCACACGUUAUGGACAGUGGCCAUUGGCCAAGGAACUUACUGGCCUGCAUGUACUUGGGAUGUGGGAAGAACCUGCAGCACUCGAAGAGGAAUGGCCAGGCUGGUUCAAGUUG